Platichthys flesus (European flounder) is the source of this 3408-nucleotide long non-coding RNA. RefSeq lists it as uncharacterized. NCBI's taxonomy places the organism in Eukaryota, Metazoa, Chordata, Actinopteri, Pleuronectiformes, Pleuronectidae. The record is from RefSeq and is a predicted model, not a curated record. The transcript is spliced from 4 exons.
ACAGAAUUCCGUUUCACCAGUGUGUUAGGUUGGGUUGAGUUCAGAUGUGUCGAUCAGUAGACUUGCAUUGUUCCCUCCUCUGGUGUUAUAGUGGGCAGGAGUGUGUCACUCACAAGUGAACACAAUGUAGAGCCCCUUAAAAACACUGCUCCACAGCGCUGCUAGUGGUCAGACAUCCUACAGGCCUCCUUUAAUCACUGACUCACAGUUAAACAAUGUCAUCUUUGUUGUGCAUAGUGAAAAUGGACGGCAAAAAAACCAUUGAGCUGACUGUUUUGCUUCUUUGAUUGACUAACAACUUGUACGAGAACAUCUCUGAUAGGUGCCGUUCGACCCGACUGCACCUGAGAUACAGCCACUGAUGCUAAAUGAAGGGCACAAAGAGACGUCAUCACCUUGUCCUCCAAACUUAAUGAAGAAUCAUCGUACCCCUCCCAUUUGGAUGCAGCUAAUAGGACUAACAAAUACAACCCUCUUUCUGUGCAUCUGACUGCUCGGUUCCCUCGUCUCUGAAGUCGGUGUCUGUGCUUCGUCUGUCUUCUCCGUCUGACUGCACACGCUCGUCUGUGUCUUGUUGACUCCAGAAGUCAGAGCAUGACUUACAGGCAGUUUCAGCUGACACAGUGUGUCACAGGUGUCCCAGGCGCUGCCGUGGUCAUUUUGAGUGACAGGGAUCUCGUCCCACCAUCCGAAUGUCUCACAUGGGUUGUUUUCUUCAGCUCUGUCCUGUUCUUCUUCUCUUGGAGCAUCUACAAGCACAAACACGUGUAGGGUAAUUUUUAUACUUUUAAUAUUUAUAAUGAUUUUUAUGCCUUGAAUAAUUGUUGUCUGUUACAUUGUGCAAAUAAAAUCUUUUUUUCUCACCAUUCUUGAGAUGGUGUCUGCUGCUGCAAACCCUGAAGAGAAUACAAGAUGUUGAAUGUUGGCCUCAACAGGUGGAUCGGUGGCCUCAACGCUGGCCUCAACAGGCUGCGGGGUAGAGUGGUCGUCCUCCAACCUGGAGGUUGAUCAAUCCCUAGUCUGACCCAUCUGCAUGCCAACGUGUCCUUUGGCAAGCAGCAUCUGUCGUCCGACGUCCUCUCUCCAUCCUUUCUCAUCCUGAAGCUCGUUUGCUUCCAGAGGCUCAUCCCGGCGUCGUGGACGUGCUCGGAAUCGAUUCUCUGAUUAAUACAGGAGACAAACACAAUUAAAAAUUGAUUUGUGGCUCAUUAUUGACCAAUGUGAAUAAUUAACCGAGGUCUCUAUGGCCAUGCACGCAGGGACUAUGUUCUGGUGUAUGGUUGGUGUGUGUGUGUGUGUGUGUGUGUGUGAGAUUUUACUGCUAAUUCACGUAUUGUGGAGACCAUAUGCUGCAAUUGGUGGUAUUAAGGCUGCACACACAAACACAAAAACACACACAAACACAGGCUUAUAGUUCUAUCUUAAGCUGUUUUCAGACAUGACCUCCAGGUAAAAUCAAAUGCCUUUCACACAUGCACAACACAGCGGGAGGGUGUCUGCACAGAUGCGUCCACAACAGCAUCAAAUCCGAGAGGUCGAGCAGGGUGAUAAACUGUCUGCUGUAACCCUGAGCCUAACAUAAACCUAGCCCCAUACCUAAUGGUAACCCUAAACCUGAAACAAGUCCUAACCUGACCAGUAUGUCCUCACUUUCCCAAACUGUCAAACAUGGUCCUCUCAAAGAUAUAAGAAUAUAUAAUACAAACAUGCAGAGAGAUCAGCUGCUAUAAAUCAUCUGUGUUAAAUUUACUCUGCUGGUGUGUUUGUGUGUGUGUGUGUGUGUGUGUGUGUGUGUGUGUGUGUGUGUGUGUGUGUGUGUGUGUGUGUGUGUGUGUGUGUGUGUGUGUGUGUGUGUGUGUGUGUGUGUGUGUGUGUGUGUGUGUGUGUGUGUGUGUGUGUGUGUGUGUGUGUGUGUGUGUGAGAUUUUACUGCUAAUUCACGUAUUGUGGAGACCAUAUGCUGCAAUUGGUGGUAUUAAGGCUGCACACACAAACACAAAAACACACACAAACACAGGCUUAUAGUUCUAUCUUAAGCUGUUUUCAGACAUGACCUCCAGGUAAAAUCAAAUGCCUUUCACACAUGCACAACACAGCGGGAGGGUGUCUGCACAGAUGCGUCCACAACAGCAUCAAAUCCGAGAGGUCGAGCAGGGUGAUAAACUGUCUGCUGUAACCCUGAGCCUAACAUAAACCUAGCCCCAUACCUAAUGGUAACCCUAAACCUGAAACAAGUCCUAACCUGACCAGUAUGUCCUCACUUUCCCAAACUGUCAAACAUGGUCCUCUCAAAGAUAUAAGAAUAUAUAAUACAAACAUGCAGAGAGAUCAGCUGCUAUAAAUCAUCUGUGUUAAAUUUACUCUGCUGGUGUGUUUGUGUGUGUGUGUGUGUGUGUGUGUGUGUGUGUGUGUGUGUGUGUGUGUGUGUGUGUGUGUGUGUGUGUGUGUGUGUGUGUGUGUGUGUGUGUGUGUGUGUGUGUGUGUGUGUGUGUGUGUGUGUGUGUGUGUGUGUGUGUGUGUGUGUGUGUGUGUGUGUGUACGUGUGUGUACGUGUGUGUACGUGUGUGUGUGUACGUGUACGUGUACGUGUAUGUGUGUGUGUGUGUGCGCUCAUAUAUAAACUGUGAAUGUCUUAAGUUUUAAUGGGUGUUAAUGAGUGUUUGUGUUUCAGUGACAUUAUGAGAGCUGAGAACAUUGACUCUAUCCCUGUGUGACUUUAGGACAAAGUUCAGUAAUCAAACUUAUCAAAGUUGUUAGAAACUAAGUGUUGGUUUCACACCACGGUCACGAGAUCUUAUAUAACAGGGUUUAUUUAACACAGAGGCGUUUUACAGGGCCGCUGUACGCGUGUGUUGACAGGCGGAUUUUUUUCAGGACAAAUCCAUUUAGUCAUUACAGACAAUGCUUUACCUCUCAGAGCUCAUCGGUCUCAUUUAGAUGAAUUCUGACAAUUUGCUCCUGGAGAGGGGAGAAGAAAAAAAAUCACACCGACAACAAAAUAUGGGGAUGUCAGAAUUUUUGACGACACUUUUGCCUGUGCCUUUUUAGACAAAUUUAGGAAGAUGAAACAUGUUUGUUUUGUAAUACGGAAUACAGCAUUGAACUGCUGCAGCUGAUACGCAUGUUUAGGAAUCUCAGAAAGUCUGGAGGUUAACAGGUUGAGAUGAUGCAUAUUCUUACUGUCAGGGAACCGACUACUUUAUAGUUGACCUGAGACGUCUGGAGGCCUUUAUGCUAAGGACAACUGAUUACCUCAUCAAGUUAACUGGAGACACCAUGAACUGUAAACACUCCUGCUGCCUUCUAUUUCCUAUUCAUUUACAUAUUCCACUAUGCACAAUACUCUUUUUUUGCACUUCUAGUUAGAUGCUAAACUGCAUUUCAUUGUAUAUGUACUUGUACUGUGCAA